Long non-coding RNA from Bactrocera oleae (olive fruit fly), 1212 nucleotides. RefSeq lists it as uncharacterized. The record is from RefSeq and is a predicted model, not a curated record. NCBI's taxonomy places the organism in Eukaryota, Metazoa, Arthropoda, Insecta, Diptera, Tephritidae.
CUUUUAUUGAAAUAUCAAAUUGCGUGUUGCUAGAAAGUCACUUUUCUAAUGACGCCGUCGAAGGAAGUCGAAGAAAAAGGGGACGCAUAGGCAAUUUUUAUACAUUAUACCAAAAUGAAUGGAUAUAAUUUUCGGUUAAAAAUUUAUUUAAUUGGUACGAAGUGUUCUCAAAUUAUUGGUACAGAGCUACGAUCGAAAAAACAAGUGUUGUCAGUUUUUUUACAAUCAUAAUAUAGUGAAGUUAUCAAUACGUGAAAAUGCUAGAUUAGCUGUAAUGGAAGCGUCUGUGUUUUGGAAAAAAGCUAAAAUUCCAACUAAAAGUGAACAACAUCGCUUAGUGAAAAAUUAGAUGAUUUAUUUGUUAUUGCUCAUAUUAAUGCAUUAGAAAUAAUUAAAAUUUAAUCCGACAAACAAUUUUUAAUAAACCAACGUAAAAAGGAGCGACCAGGAUGUCUUUGUGGAAUUGAUACUAAAACUAUGCAGAAGUUGGAAAGAAAGGCAAACAAUACACAGUGAUAGCUUGCGCAUUGUCUUCAAGCAGUGAUGACGGCAAACAACUUCAGAAAGCGAAAUUGAGUACAGACUUAUCCAAUGCCCCUAUAUCAGCAAACGAGGAAAAAAACUUUUUAAUGAAAAUGUGGGUUUAAUGAAAUGGUGGCUAUGCACAUUGUUGCCGUCUCUCUGGGGUAUAAUGCAAAUGAAUUGGUAAUAAAUUGCACAUCAUUGCAGCGGCAAAUACAUUUAAGCUGGAUUAAAAAGUCGCAAAAAAUCAAAAACAACUUAAUGAUGAACCGCGGUACUUUGCAUUUAGAUGGAAAACUCCUACCGGAAAAAACAGGCCGUAAAAAAGUAGAACGACGAAACGGUAAUUGUUUCAUAUAAAACCGGUGAACAAUUAAUAAGAGCACCGAAGUUAUCGGCUGCAACUGAUUCCAAAAUCGCUGAUGCAUUUUAUGAACUUUUAUUUGAAUGGAAUUUAAAAGAGCUCGUUGUAGCCUGUUGCUUGGAUACAAUUUCGACAAAAACGGGCAUAAUUAAAGGGGUUGCAACAUUGUUAAAAAAAAGCAACUCGAACGAAAACUACUAUAUUUGCCUUACCGACAUCAUAUGUAUAAACUUUUACUGAGAGCAGUUUUCGAAUUGGAAGGGCGUUAACAUAAAAAGCGUCAAAGAUUUGCUACAAAAUGACGAUAAUUAAAUUUAUAAAUAAAA